This 2259-nucleotide long non-coding RNA is filed under the name Malus domestica (apple). RNAcentral describes it as "long non-coding RNA (MDOM_LNC009708)". The record is from RNAcentral. Lineage: Eukaryota; Viridiplantae; Streptophyta; Magnoliopsida; Rosales; Rosaceae.
UGUGGACAAACUUAGACGAGUCAUUAGUCUACACAAAAUAAUGCAGAAAAAAAAUGUCAUGAAGGACUUCAAUUAAUAAGUUAAUAAACAUAUCUGCAAACUGAAAUAAACUAACAUUACAUAACACAAUUAGUCACAAAAAUUUACAUACAGAGAGCAUGAAAAAAAAAAAGAAAAAGAAAAUCGAUAGCAUGAACAAUGCCCUGAAUUCAAAACAGAUUUGUUCAAGUAUUUUCAUACAGGUAGCAUGUUGCCUAUGAGGAGUAAGUACAAACUUUUUUUUCCCUUUACUCCUGCAUUAACAAAUAUAUGUUGUGACAUUUAUAAACCACUCCAUGUUUACUUACUGGUUAUCUUAUUUCCCUUGGAUUAAUAGGUUAUUUGCUAAUACUAAGAUUGAGGACUUUCUUCACACUUUUGAGCACACCCAAAUCGAAAUAAAAAAGAACCCAAUUUAAGGAAUCCAUCAUUUUCUCCCAAUCUUUGCAAAAUCAUCGCAUUCACCUAACCAAAUCCCUAAAAGCAGACCAGCAAUUUCCCAUAAACGCCAGAAACUCAAAACUAUUUAAAAAAAUAUUUCUGCAAGAACAUUACUUUGGCAAACUUUGUCUUCUACAAUUGAGCAAACCAGCUAAUUAUUCCUCCCAUUUCAAAUUUAAUGGGAAAACAAAAUACAACCCACUACAGAACAAGCAAUGCAAAUAUGUGAUUCAAGCACAAAACAUUGAAAAACCAUUCCAAAAGUACAGAAUGAGAGAAUGGAGCAGCUAGAAGAAGCAUACCUAAUGCACAAGCAAGAAAUCUGAGCAAAACCCAACUCACAGUCUGAGCUGUGCUUCCUCUAGUCCUCCUCCUCCACUCCCCUUUUCUGGAAAAAAAAAUAAAAAAUGAUUCUUUGAUUCAUCAGACGAUAAGCUCAAAAGAAAACAAACAAAAACUCCUCUUUCACCCUCAAUCUUUCACUCUCUCAGUCUUUCACUCUUUCAUCCCCUCUCUCUCUCUCUCUCUUCUCUCUCUCUCUCUCUCUCUCUCUCUCUCUCUCUCUCUCUCUCUUAAGUUUUUCGCACACCAAAAAAUAAAAUAAAAAGAAGAAAAUCAGGAAAAAAAUUUGAACGAAUCCUGGAAAGAAAAUCCAUCGCGGAGAAGAAAGAAACGCACAAGAAAUGAGCAGCCAAAUGCUGAUAUUCAUCGAGCACAUAGAUAAAAAAGCAGAAGAAGGAAUUUACCUAGCCGUAUGUGUGACGAGAGCUCUGGUUGAGAGAAGACAUGCGGCUGAGAGAAGAUAGAAAUGAGCUGGGUGAAAGAAAAAUAAGUCUAGGUUAAAAAAGGAUAAUCUUGAAAAUAAUGAAAGUAAGUGAGGGCAUAAAGGGAAAAAAAUUAUCAAGUGGAUUGCCCAAGCCACCCGGAAUCCCAAUAUCUUCUAUAUCUUAGGAAUCCAAAUCAGCCACAUUUUGGAAUUGGAUUCCAAAAUUUGUGUAGGACCCACUAAAUUUUGAUUCCCCCAGAUUUGGUAAACACCGGAGUAUGCCGUAAUCGGAAUUCAAUUCCGUUUCUUGAUUCUGAUGACCCUUACGUAAACGCGCUAUAAGAGUAAUACUAAUAAUUUAAACCAAGCGGCUAACAAUCCCAAUAAGAAAGGAUGCUAGUGAGAGUUUAAGUGUAUAAAAACACUUUCAGAGCAAUAAGAAGGUCUAGUUGCAGUCAAGUAGGACAAUUACUAAUAUACAACACCCGAAGGUGAAUCAUACUUUUUCGGAUUCUGUCAUAACACCGUUGGAUUCCUCGUGGCCACCAAACUCUGCUACCUAAAACCUGGAUGGGCGAAAAACAAAGUUGAGUGGGUCAGUAAAACACAUUUACAUGAAAAUCUUAUUUUCCUUUUAAUAUACUAACCCCUCACCGUAAAACAAGUAUAUAGAUACUUUCCCAGAAAAUAGAAUACAUAAAUAUGUAUAUACAUAUCUCAAAUCAUACUCAAAAUCAAGAUUCAUAUUUGAAUGUAUACCAUGCCUAUAUAUAAAACAUAAUAAGCAAUUUAGAUAAGAAUAAUUUCAUAGAAAUAUCACAUGUUAGCCGGAACCCCCAAGGUAGUCUAUACGGCUGGAUUCCAUAGCUUAAAAGUCACUCUAGCCGAAGUCCCCACAAUGACCUAUACGGCAACAUACUGCACAAUAGUCAAAACCAAAAGCAAGGGUAUGUACGACGAUAAUGGGUGUAAUAUAAUUAUGCUCAAUACUCAUCUCACAUAAUAGCCAGACG